Molecule: ribosomal RNA, 513 nt
Filed under: uncultured bacterium
Lineage: Bacteria
Description: bacterial LSU rRNA
Rfam family: Bacterial large subunit ribosomal RNA
Source: RNAcentral
CAAACUCCGAAUGCCGCGUAAUCGAUUAUCGGAGUCAGACUGCACGAGAUAAGUUGGGCGGUCAAAAGGGAAAGAGCCCAGACCUUCAGUUAAGGUCCCCAAGUGCGCGUUAAGUGGAAAAAGGAUGUGGGAUUUCGAAGACAACCAGGAUGUUGGCUCAGAAGCAGCCAUCCAUUCAAAGAGUGCGUAAUAGCUCACUGGUCGAGAGGUCCUGCGCCGAAAAUGUCCGGGGCUGAAACGCGCCACCGAAACUAAGGAACCGAAAGGUUGGUAGAGGAGCAUUGCAUGCGGAACGAAGCAGUACCGUAAGGAGCUGUGGACUGCAUGGAAGAGAGAAUGCCGGAAUGAGUAGCGAGAAUAAGGUGAGAAUCCUUAUGGCCGAAUAUCCAAGGUUUCCAGAGUAAAGCUGAUCUGCUCUGGGUAAGUCGGGGCCUAAGGCGAGGACGAGAGUCGUAGCCGAUGGACAACAGGUGGAGAUUCCUGUACUGCGGUAAUGACAGAACUGGUGGGGAC